UGAGUACGAGACGCUACGGCGUUGAAGCAGUGUAUGUCAGACUUCCAAGAAAAGCUCGCAAUGUCAUAAACAAAUAAUGCCUGUACCAUAACCGACACAGGUGGGUAGGUAGAGUAUACUAAGGGGCGCGAGAUAACUCUCUCUAAGGAACUCGGCAAAAUGACUCCGUAACUUCGGGAGAAGGAGUGCCUUAUUUUUAUGAGGUUGCAAUAACAAGAUCCAAGCAACUGUUUACCAAAAACACAGGUCUCCGCUAAGUCGUAAGACGAUGUAUGGGGGCUGACGCCUGCCCAGUGCCAGAAGGUUAAAGAAGUUGGUUAGCAAUAGCGAAGCUGAUAACUGAAGCCCUGGUGAACGGCGGCCGUAACCAUAACGGUCCUAAGGUAGCGAAAUUCCUUGUCGGGUAAGUUCCGACCCGCACGAAAGGCGUAAUGAUUUGGAUGCUGUCUCGGAGAGGGGCUCGGUGAAAUAGACUUGUCUGUGAAGAUGCGGACUACCUGCACCAGGACAGAAAGACCCUAUGAAGCUUUACUGUAACUUGAAAUUGAAAUUGGACUUUACUUGCGCAGUAUAGGUGGGAGGCGUUGAUUUUAUUCUUGCGGGAAUUUAGGAGCCAUCAGUGAGAUACCACUCUGGUAAUGUUAGAUUUCUAACUUUGUAUCAUAAUCUGGUCAAAGAACAGUUUCAGGCGGGCAGUUUGACUGGGGCGGUCGCCUCCCAAACGGUAACGGAGGCGUACAAAGGUUUCCUCUGAACGUGUAGAAAUCGUAUCUAGAGUGUAAAGGCAUAAGGAAGCUUGACUGUGAGACCUACAAGUCGAGCGGGGACGAAAGUCGGUCUUAGUGAUCUGACGGUGCUGAGUGGAAAGGCCGUCACUCAACGGAUAAAAGUUACUCUAGGAUAACAGGCUGAUCUCCCCCAAGAGUUCACAUCGACGGGGAGGUUUGGCACCUCGAUGUCGGCUCAUCGCAUCCUGGGGCGGUAGUACGUCCCAAGGGUUGGGCUGUUCGCCCAUGAAAGCGGUACGCGAGCUGGUUUCAGAACGUCGUGAGACAGUUCGGUCCAUAUCCGGUGUAGGCGUUAGAAUAUUGAGAGGAUCCUCCUUUAGUACGAGAGGACCGAGAAGGACAUACCUCUGGUGUACCAGUUAUCGUGCCAACGGUAAACGCUGGGUAGCUAUGUAUGGAAAGGAUAACCGCUGAAAGCAUCUAAGUGGGAAGCCUACCUCAAGAUAAG
This 1236-nucleotide ribosomal RNA is filed under the name metagenome. RNAcentral's name for it is "bacterial LSU rRNA". It matches the Rfam family "Bacterial large subunit ribosomal RNA", at positions 1564 to 2808 of the family's 2925-position model. The record is from RNAcentral.